This 201-nucleotide long non-coding RNA is filed under the name Helianthus annuus (common sunflower). RNAcentral's name for it is "hypothetical non coding rna". Lineage: Eukaryota; Viridiplantae; Streptophyta; Magnoliopsida; Asterales; Asteraceae. The record is from RNAcentral.
UGUGCCAACCUCCCGAGCGCAAAGGCGGACAUUUCCUUUAGCUGAGCCUCUGAAGACUGCAACAUCUCGAUUAGCGGACCAACAGCACCUCUUUGAACUAUGUCAACCUUGCAGUCUGUAUCAGCAGCAGCAAACUGUCCAAGAAGUAAGGCAGCUUCUCGUUGGCUCUCAGAACAAGUCGAACUGGAUGACAAAAGAUAG